GAUGAACGCUGGCGGCGUGCCUAAUACAUGCAAGUCGAGCGAACAGACGAGGAUCUUGCUCCUUUGACAUUACCGGCGGACGGGUGAGUCACACGUGGCUAACCUACCUAUAAGACUGGGCUAACUUCGGGAAACCGGAGCAAAUACCGGAUACUAUAUUCAACCUCAUGGUUCAAUAGUGAAAGACGGUUUUGCUGUCACUUAUAUCUGGUUCGGCGGCGCAUUAGCUAGUUGGUAAGGUAACGGCUUACAAAGGCAGCGAUGCGUAGCCGACCUGAGGAGGUGAUCGGCCAGGCUGGAACGGAGGCACGGUCCAGAGGGCUACGAGAGGCAGCAGUUAGGAAUCCGCCGCGAUGGGGGGAAGCAUGACGGACAAACGGGGCGUGAGUGAUGAAGGUAUUCUGAUCGUAAGACGCUGUUUUUAGGGUAGAACAGUUGUGUAAGCAAGUAUGAACGUAGUGACGGUACCUGCUCAGAAAGCCACGGCUAACUACGUG
RNAcentral lists this ribosomal RNA (497 nucleotides) under uncultured bacterium. RNAcentral's name for it is "partial 16S ribosomal RNA". It matches the Rfam family "Bacterial small subunit ribosomal RNA", at positions 28 to 507 of the family's 1533-position model. The record is from RNAcentral.